AUUUAAUUUUUACACAGCCAUUGAUUAACGAGUGCAGAAAAGAGGGUAGUUGUGUUUAAUGAAGCUAUAGUUGUGAGUAUUCACCCGGUUGAACAUUAGACAUCAGCGAAGGAUAUCUUUAUAAGCUUGGCAUCCAGAGACGUGCAACAAAUCCAAAUGACAGACAAAGAUUUUGGAUUGCCAUAAUUGUAUCAUGUCAUCAAGUAUACAUAUGUUGUGAAGAUGGUCACGGAGGGGAGAUGUAUGAAUUAUUUAGUUUAAUUUACAUCAUCAAUUGGGAUUAUCAUAAUUAGAUGUUUAAAGUGAUUGAUUUGUAACAACAAGAUGAUAAAACCAUAUUUGAGUUGUCAAUUGAAGUUGAACACAAAGAAUUGGAGUCUCUGCCAUGGUUAUGGCUUCGGUUAAAAAUGAAGAACUCGGAAACUUUGAUGACAAGGGUAUACAGGGAACUUUGGGAGGGUCUUAUAUAUUGCCAGGUGAUAUUUUGACCGGUCAACAACUAAUACUGACUACUUAACCGAAUAUUUGGAUGGAUAGAAUACAUUUCUUAAUUUUUUCUGUUACGGGAUAGAUCUCCAAACGAAUUGGUGAAAAUGGGACAUAUUCCCAACUUUUCCAAAAAAAAAACUCAUCGUUCAUAGCUUUCCCCUGCUCAGAUUUGAUCUUGAUGACCAGAUCUCAGCAGUCGGAAUCAAAAUUUCAACAUCAGUCUAGGUUGUUCAUAAGUUUUCAGAUCAUGAUGGUGGUGACGGCAGUCUGAUUUCAGUUGGGGUUUCUAGUUUGCAUUCAAGCAGACGAUUUUAGAUGGAAGUGUUCUUGACAGAGGGUGGUGGUGAUUGUCGGAAAACCUGCUUUACAUCCGUUUUUGAUGAUUUCACUGGGGUUUCUGUGCUUAUGCAGAGAAGAAGUCAUCAGGUUCUUGAUCUUGUUUCAAGGUUCCUGUUAUUGUUGAAGUGUUGGUUUUUGUUCUUGUUUGUGUUAAUCCAUAAAAAAAAAUCCUUUGUUUUCAAUCAAUACCAUUCAAAAUCACUUAGUUCUUCGAUCAAAGGUACUUGUUUACAACGAAGAAAAGGUAGCGACGAUUUUGUAAUGGUGAUUUGGUUCGAAAGAGGAUUUGCUUUCCAUCGAUGGAUUGUUGCAGGUGGGAGUCUGGUGGAAGUAGCGGCGGAAUUAGGGAUUUGGUGACGGGAAGAUACCUACUACCUUAGCUAUUUUUUAGGGUUUUGGUUUCUUUGGGCUUUUAUAUGGGUUUUUCAUUUUGGGUCGUUAUUAGUUGAUGGGUUUUCUUUUGUCCUAUGAAAAUUUGUACUGAGGGUUUCUACUUUCUAUGUGGGUUUAUCUCGUAUGAGGGUUGGGCUAUUACUUAUUGUACCUAACAAUUCUAUAUUAUCUAUAAAAAUCGAUCUUUACCGAUCAGAAAAAAAUUAAUAAUUU
This is a long non-coding RNA of Papaver somniferum (opium poppy), 1434 nucleotides long. RefSeq lists it as uncharacterized. The transcript is spliced from 2 exons. The record is from RefSeq and is a predicted model, not a curated record. Lineage: Eukaryota; Viridiplantae; Streptophyta; Magnoliopsida; Ranunculales; Papaveraceae.